RNAcentral lists this ribosomal RNA (498 nucleotides) under Rhodotorula mucilaginosa. RNAcentral describes it as "partial large subunit ribosomal RNA". It matches the Rfam family "Eukaryotic large subunit ribosomal RNA", at positions 134 to 648 of the family's 3401-position model. The record is from RNAcentral. Lineage: Eukaryota; Fungi; Basidiomycota; Microbotryomycetes; Sporidiobolales; Sporidiobolaceae.
UGUCCGAGUUUGUAAUCUCUAGAAAUGUUUUCCGCGUUGGACCGCACACAAGUCUGUUGGAAUACAGCGGCAUAGUGGUGAGACCCCCGUAUAUGGUGCGGACGCCCAGCGCUUUGUGAUACAUUUUCGAAGAGUCGAGUUGUUUGGGAAUGCAGCUCAAAUUGGGUGGUAAAUUCCAUCUAAAGCUAAAUAUUGGCGAGAGACCGAUAGCGAACAAGUACCGUGAGGGAAAGAUGAAAAGCACUUUGGAAAGAGAGUUAACAGUACGUGAAAUUGUUGGAAGGGAAACGCUUGAAGUCAGACUUGCUUGCCGAGCAAUCGGUUUGCAGGCCAGCAUCAGUUUUCCGGGAUGGAUAAUGGUAGAGAGAAGGUAGCAGUUUCGGCUGUGUUAUAGCUCUCUGCUGGAUACAUCUUGGGGGACUGAGGAACGCAGUGUGCCUUUGGCGGGGGUUUCGACCUCUUCACACUUAGGAUGCUGGUGGAAUGGCUUUAAACGAC